GCUUACGGCCAUACCACCCUGGAAAUACCCGAUCUCAUCUGAACUCGGAAGUAAUGCAGGGUCGGGCCUGGUUAGUACUUGAAUGGGAGACCGCCUGGGAAUACCAGGUGCUGUAAGCU
Molecule: non-coding RNA, 119 nt
Organism: Danio rerio (zebrafish)
Lineage: Eukaryota; Metazoa; Chordata; Actinopteri; Cypriniformes; Danionidae
Source: Rfam